Molecule: long non-coding RNA, 2634 nt
Organism: Crotalus tigris (Tiger rattlesnake)
Lineage: Eukaryota; Metazoa; Chordata; Lepidosauria; Squamata; Viperidae
Exons: 2
Source: RefSeq, a predicted model, not a curated record
AAAUAGUUGUCCAAUUUCUUCUUAGAAACCUCCAAUGAUGGAGCACCCACAACUUCUGAAGGGAUCUCAACCUACAACAUCACUGAAGAACCAACAAGAAAGCUUGGACACCUCACAGAGGGAAACAAAUGCUUCCAAAGAAUCAAAGACCUGAAAACAGUUGAAAUAUAGUUGAAAUCAUUUUCUCAUUUGAUAUAAUAGCACUCUCUGCAUACACAGAAUUAGCAAAAGAAUCCAUGACAGCAAUACUAUAUAGCACACCUGAUCUAACCAAAUAUAUCAAGAUUGAAAUACCCAGAAUCAUGGAUCUCAUCAACCUUUGACCACAUAUUUUUAGCUUGAUGGACAAAUAUACAACAAAUCAAAGGAAUUGGGACUACAGCUUUCAAGACUCACAGAGACCAUAAUGCCUAGAAUCUCUAGCAGUCCCACACAUAGAAUCCAAAGUAUGGAUCCGGUACGUAGUUGAUAUCUUGUCAUACUCAAAGGACCAUCUAGAGCAGGCAUGUCAAAGUCGCAACAUCACGUGACGUUGCGCAACGUAUCGGGCCGAUUUUGCCAUUGCUGGCAAUGGGGUGGGCGUGGCUUCCACGUGACGCGUCCGGCCUGCAGGCCACCAGUUUGACACCCCUGAUUUAGAGAAAACAUACCAUCAAUAACAUACAUCUUCAAAGAAAUAAAAUUCACAAGAAACAUAGAAAACAAUAUGCUACCCUUCCUGGAAAUCCUCAGAGGCAGUGAUGGCAAAUUAAAGCACAAAUCUCUCAUAUCCAUACUAACCAAGUGCUCCACUACCGAUCUAACAACCUAACUUCCCACAAGAAAAACACUAUUUAAACGAUCACUACAGCAACCCUGAAUAUCAGAAGAAAAUAGAUUAUCUAUAAAACAUCUUCCAUCCAAAUGGAUACCGAUGCAACUUUAUCAAAAUAGGCUGAUCAGUCAUACCAAUGUAGCACAACCAACACAAUUUGUGAAAAGAAUAACACUGCCAUACAUCAAAAACACCUUAAACAGACAAUAAACAGUCUAUUACAACCACAUAGCAUCACCAUAGCACACAAACCAGCAAAAGUCCUCCAAAACCUCCUAAGUAAACCAAAAGACCCAAUAGCCUCAAAGGAAAAGCAUAAAGUCACAAAGUAACUCAUACAACAGCAUAUAGUGUACAGUAACAGCCACUAUGUAGGACAAACAGGUAGAAGACUAGCAGAGCACAUCCACGAACACCAACUAGCAGGCUGAAGACAUGAUGCAAACUCUUUAAUUUCAUAACAUAUUAAAUGACUCAACAAUAGUUGGGAAAUAGAGUAUCCUAGAGCACGCCAAAUCCAAAAACGCUAAAGAAUUCCUGGAAGCCCAGCACUUAGGGCAAAUUAGCCAUCAACAAGCACAGAGACAAUCAAAAAGUCAAAAAGGAAACAAUAAGACCAAAACACGUUAUCGCUAGCAAUCAACACCCAGAUGAGCAGAGAUUAACACCAAGAUUAACACUAGGCCAAUAAUCAAGAGGUAAGCAAUAUCCCAAUCAAAGAGUAAACAAACAGGCUAGCAGUAAACAAACAGGCUAAUCAAGGGACUACCAACACCACUUCCAGCAACACUGACAGAACAAGUCACUAGUAUAUAAAAUGAGAGCAAAUCCCCUCCCUUCCAAUAUGUUACAUAGUUUGAUGAUGUUACUUAGUUUGGUAAUGAAAUACUUGCAAGAAAACAAGCUCAGGGAGCACCAAGGACCCCCUCACAUUUUCUUUAACUCUCCAAAAAAAGGGAGGCUCUCUUCUGAAACAUUUCCCAUGCCCUGCUACUGUAUGAAGUGAGAUACCUUUUACACACUGCUUGUCCAAUCUCUGGCUGUCCUUCCCGUCUCCAAGAUCACUUUCACAUAGCAUUACAUAUUGCCAAAUAUCAGAACAAAUUUAGCAAUGUGCAGAAAGUCUAUUAUGGAAACCCAAGGUCUAUCAAAUACUUACUUCCAUAUUAAAAUCAGAAAAAAUAAUUAUAAGUUACUGAGUAUUAAGAUGUGGCUGAUUAAUUUUAGCAUGUAAUAGAUAAAGUCAGUAAUAAAACAAAAUCUAUAUCUUAACAAUGCUGAAUAUUACCUGCCUUGGCUGGUUGACCUUUGCUCCUGAAGAUAGUAAUAACCGAAUUAAAUUCAGAUAGCCUCCCUGAGCAGCCAGGAAAAGUGCAGUAGCUCCAUCCUUAAUUUGAAAUACAAAAAUAAUUAGCUUGUUUACUAAUAAAAAUGUCCAUAAUAGAACUAAUGAAUGUUUUCCUUCUUCCAUUAAUUCUCAAGCAUAUAAAAAUGCCACUUGUACUUAAGAAUGUUUUCCACAUCCAUUAAACACCUCCUGCCACUUAAUGCAACUCUUUCUGCAACACUGAUGAAAGUAAAAUUCAAAGAUGCUCUUUAAUUAGUCUGCUCCUAGCUUGAGAUGUAGUCAAUGUAAAGAAUGGAGCUGUUUUGUGAGUAAUUGUUCCAGCAGGGUGUAUUUGAGGUCUGCCUAGAGAGGAACUUUGCCAAUCAGAAACCUUGUAUUAGCUCAGCUGAGUAACAAAUAUGACAAAUGGCAACCAGGUUCUUCUGUUUAUCCAUUGCUUUGAAGUAUAUCAAACCAUUUAAAGACUAUCAAA